GGGCUGUAUGCCCUGCUGGGAGGGGCAUGGCUCCUGGGAUGUGCCGUGGCGACGGUCACAACCUUCCGAGCGGCGCUCUGACCGUCGGACAGCUCU
Molecule: transfer RNA, 96 nt
Filed under: Alienimonas chondri
Lineage: Bacteria; Pseudomonadati; Planctomycetota; Planctomycetia; Planctomycetales; Planctomycetaceae
Description: tRNA-Pro
Source: RNAcentral